CCUCAUUUAGAAUCAGGUGUGUCAUGACAAGGCAGAUGAGUUUGUUCCUGUCUUACAUAACUCCACAGAAUUUAGCACAGCUUGGCUCCAAGAUCAUUGCAGUGAAGGCAACAGAUAAUCCCAAAGGCCGUUCGAAAUGCAGAAGACACCUGGAAGUUGAAGAUAUAUCCACUAGUUCUCUAAUACGGACAGAGGUUGUGGCUCUGUGACUUGGCAUUGUCAGAGCAGUGGGAGAAGCACAAGUCAGGAGGGGACCCAGGAGGCCGCCAUCACUUUUGAAAGGUUCCCAUGCUACCUACUCACAUGGACUCACACUGUAAUUCAGAGAGAAACGUGCUGCCGUGGGGCUGUGUCACUCAGCGGUAAGCGGAGAUGGGGAGCCUGACUGAGAGGCAUUCUUCCACACUCCAAAGGGAUCCUGGCUGCCUAACUGGCCUUCUAUCAGCUGGCUUCUGUUUGAAGCCCUUGGACACAGUUCCUCACACUUGCCUUUCCUAACCAAAUGUAAUAAUUAACAUCUUAUUAAUUACAGUUGAGCAGCAAUAUUCAGCUAGUCUCGGAGGUACUUUGCAGGAACAGGGGGGUCUGUAGCGGAUCACCGAAGUUGUAAACCUCAGCUCACAGCUCAGCUGUUAUUCAGGGCUGUGCGAGUGGCUGAGCCAGAGCCAGGAACCCAGCUCCUCCUCUUCUCUGGGGCAUGAAGUGGGCACUGCCUGUGUCUUUGCAGUUUGCUAACUGUGUGGGACAGUUAAGGCAGAUUGACAGCAGAAUCAGAUCACAUCCUAAUACAGAUUUAAUACCAAUAAGGCAUAACACACCAUCACAUAUUUUGUAUUAGCUAGUACAUGCAAAAAAAGUUUUGAUUAGCUUUAUGUUUUUACGCUGAAUUUAUGCCAGCUGCAAAAGGACAGGUGAUGCCUGAUCCAACAUGAAGCUUAUAGGUACAAAGUGGAUUUUUUUUUUUUCUCCUUGGCUUAAUAUUUUUAUUGUCAGAACAAGUUUACACCAGCUCAGUGUGUUCAGUUGUAGAUGCCAAAUGUGAACUUGUCAGUAAAUCUCACAGUGCUGUGAGAACAAGUUGUAGACCGCUACAGAAAUAUUUUACUGGGUCAAAGGUUUUUAUAAACCUCCAGACAGUAACAGGAGAGCUUCUGCUGGAUCAUGUGUCCUUCCUUGGCUGGCCCCUUCAGGCCUUUCCUGAAAGCCACCCGCGCCCCUUUCUGAUUUAACCCGAUGACAGAUGUGCCCCCAAAUGCAACCACUGCACUCAUACUACUCCACCAUGGAUACGGCUGCCCCACAGUUCAUUAAGAGCCUUGCAAUAACUUUAAGAAACGGAGGUCAAAGCCUUGCAGAAGGCUGGAGUGUUAUCAGUGCUGUAAGUGUCUUGUCAUGUUUAUAUCACCAACCUUUCACACGCUUGUCAAGUCUGGGGAGGCUGGUACCUAGCCCAUCACUAGUGGUUUUAUUUCUUGGUUUUAGGCAACUGUUAUACUAAGCAAAAACAACAUUAAAACAAUAUACCACAUUGUUGCACAAUCCAGGAAAAGUGGCAUUAAGCUGUAAUCACAAGAUAAUAUUUAAGCUAGUUGUCACCUUAGACAGGUAAAAACAUAAAGCAAAAGGACCAAACCUACAUGUAUAUGUGACAUCAUACGAUAUCCUGGUUUCUUCAACCUUCUGAUAGAUCUUGCUGUAAAACAAACUGUGAUUUCACUGACUAUUUAACCACCCAGAAAUUAUGCCUAGUAUGCACAGAAUGUUUAUGCCACUACAGUUACUUUGAAAAGGUAUGUUUAAGCAUUAUAACUCUUUGAAAGUACUCAUACCAAUGCAGGGGUUUUUCUCUUCAUUUUGCCUAAAGAUACAGGAAUACACGGUCUUUCUAUAGACAUGAUUUGAUGCUACAGUCAAUUCAGUGGCAGCCUUGGUUCUGGAGGUUUCUGCUCCCAGCUUCUCCCACUCACUGUUUUCUCCCCCAGUUUUAUCAACUCAACAUUGAGGGUGACUAUAAUACCAAAUAUAUAUUUUUUUCUUUUCAAUCCAAGCUACCAAUCACUCCUCCCGCUUGCCAGGGUUCUGCUGUCAAAGGAGCAGUAACUAGAUCCACAUCUCACUCUGUCCACACCAGAGAAUUUACCUCCGAAGUACUCUUUCCCUGCAGUGCACAGGACAUCGGGCCCUUGAGCUUUAAACCAUCCUGUGACCCGUGUGACAGCACAGAAUGAGUAUAAUCAGGGAGGACACUGGAAUUCACCCUUCCCCUAGCUCACAACGACAGCCACCCAAGCCCCCAAGAAGACGAUUCACUCUCUGUGUAUUUCCCUUGCAGCCACAAAUGCUGUGAAGUUUGUUUAACUGAAGGAGAAGAUUCAGCAGAUUGUGGCUCAUCCUCAGACAGGGGCUCUUUCUGGAAGAAGCUCUCCAUUGGCACAGCGGGUGGUCGGUGCUACAAAGCGCUCUCAUCUGGAGGCAUUUACAAGAGAUUUACACCAGCAAAUACAGAGGUCAGGAUGGGACAGCCUGCAGGGUACAACAGCUAGAAGGCUCAGCAGAUUUCACUUGCACCUCUUGAUCGUUAAGCACGUUAAGCACACUCUGUGUGCUAUUCUGUGUAGGCUUUAAAGGCCAAUAUUAGGAUGCAAGGGUCAGCUCAUACCAAGUUUAAUCCCGGAGCAGAGACAUCAGUGCACAGUGAGCUGCUGUGCACACCAGGCUGCAAGGCAGCAGUAACCGAAGCUCACAGACAUCUCCAGCAUUGGCCUCCCUUCUUCUCACCUCCAUGGGCCUCUGAGGGGCUGGUUGUCACCCAGCCAGGGCCAGGGAAGCACACAAAGCUGGUCAGCAUUGUCAAACUUUUGCCUUCUUCAGCAGUUGGCUAGCAUGGCUAGAUUUGAGAGUUUCUAGCCAUGCACUAGGUUUACAUGGAGUGGCUUGGUAUCUCAUCCUGGUUCCCAGACCCACAUCUACCUGGGCAUGCUGCUUUUGGUUAAUUAUCUGCCAUCCUGCUAACCUGGUGCCAGAACUUAAUUAAACUUUCAGCCUCAGAGACGGGGGGUUCCUCUGGCUCAGAGUUCAGACACACGGACCAUUACAAGAUAAUGGCAAUGCCGCUGCCUGACUUGCCCGCCCCAGAGGGGAAGGCAGCUCGAUUCCCAGACCUUCACCAGUUGCACCUGCACUGCCCUGGUCUUGCUGGCACCAUGUGCUGGGCCAGCCAGAGACCACCUUCUCCUUGCAGAGCCAGAGAGCAGCAGGGCUCUCCUGCUCCAGCUUAGGAAACAAAUGCGCAGUCAGGCACCCUGGGGCUGUCGGGACGCUGCAGAGGAUGGGGCCAGGAGUGCUGGUGUCUGGUUCCUGCCAGGGAAUCAUUAUGUGUGUGCAUUAGCUUUGCUCCUUCCGCAGUUCUUGCUCCAAACUGCCUGCUCACUUGGCGCAGGAGUUGGUGUCACCUCCCAUAAGGAAAUGUUGAUCAUACAGAUGCCUUGCCAAAUUCUGCACUCAGAUCAGUGACUCUGCUACUUUUCCAGCGCUGAGCUGAGGACAUCCCUUUUGGUGAAAAUAAAUUCUUUGUUCAGAUACUUUUUGGGCUUUGCUCAAAAACACAAUGGCCAGAAAGCCUACUGUUUAAAUCACAUUUUAAAUUGUUUUAAGGAGAUCAAAUGCUUGGAGUAAUAGCCACAUUUUAUAUUUGUUCUUCCCCCCAGACCAUUCAGAGCCAUAUAUUGCACUUAUCGCUCUAGAAUUAAGCGUUCGGCCACCACAAUGUUCUAACGAUGUGUCUGCCAGCAAGAAAAGACUUGAUUAUGCAGAUCUCUCUUCUGUCUGGCAUCUUUUCUGCAGCUCUGAAGCAGCCAAGGCAUCUCUCAUACGGCCCCCUGAGCUGCACAGUGCUUUAAAUAACUCUAUAUCAGCUUUCCCAGGGGUCUGAUUCUACUACACGACCCUUCAGCAUCCCCCAGUUACUAAUCAGAAUCAUAGAAUAGUUUGGGUUGGAAGGGACCUUCAAAGCUCAUUUAGUCUGAUCCCCUGCAAUGAGCAGGGACAUCUUCAACUACAUCAGGUUGCUCAGAGCCCCAUCCAGCCUGGCCUGGAAUGUUUCCAGGGAUGGGGCAUCUACCACAUCUCUGGAAAACCUGUUCCAGUGUUUCACCAACCUCAGUGUAAAAAAUUUCUUCCUCACAUCUAGGCUGAAUCUCCCUUCUUUUAGUUUAAAACCAUUAUGCCUUGUCUUAUUGUAACAGGCCCUGCUAAAAUUCCCAGCACAUAAAUCAGCAGGAGUUUUCUUUUGCUGUUAUUGUCAAAUGCAAGCAUUGGAUGGCAUGUAGGAUAAACAACAGGCACAGACCAUUAUUUCUGGCAGGCAGAAAUCUGGAAGCCUUAGAGCCUGGUGGGCCAGACCCUCGGGGUACUUGCCCCAGCUCCUCGCCACCACCUCCUGCCUUUCCCAAAGCACAGGAAAGUCUGUCCCCUGCCCGGCUUACAGACAAGCCGAGAGCCUGAGCUUCUGCUGCUCCCUGUGGGAAAUCACUUCAGUUUAACAGAUAAUAUUAUGAUAAGGAUUUUUUUCUGUUUAGCCCAUAAUUGCCUUUCAAAAUGGCUCCUGCCACAUUAAGUUAUAAGCCCUUGAAGUAGGCUAAAGGCUCCGUUUUCUUCCCUGAGGAUGUUUCCUUUUGGAUGGCAAUAUCAACCUCCCUUAGCUGUCCCUGCUCAGCUGAGAUGUACAUACUUCUCAUCUUUUCUGGUAAGUCCUUCCAGCCUCUGAUCAUUUAAUUGCUCUUACCUGAGCCUUCAAGUUAACUGCAAUGCUGCUAAUUAAAGUAACAAAUAUCACACUGCUUGAACACGUGGCUGCUCCCCCAGGUGCCUCCCACCCUUCCCAUUUCUUGGUGAGAAGGAACCUCCUGGCAGCCCGGGGGGCUGUUCUUUGGGCAGAGCUGAAUUUGUGUUACAAGGCUGAUCUGAUCAGCUUCUGCCACUCUGGGCUGUGCUGCUGAGAGACGAAGACGAAGUAAAAUGGACUCCUUGUCUGGUGAAAAAAGGCCUCCGUGACCCCAGCUCAGCCAUCUGGCUGGGACGGACAUACGGACAUUACACCACUGGCUCUGACAGGCGGCUGCAUGGUGGAGAAUAGUGACCUGGAGAAAAUAGUGCUGGGCUCUGUUCUCGGUGUGUAAAUGCUACAACCAACAGUGUGUACAGGGAAACUUGGAGCAUUCCUGAUAACUGCACUGGGAUUAUUGGGUCCUUUUUUUUUCUUUAAACCUAGGAGGAAGAAAAAAAGCGGGGGGGGGGGGAGGGGGAAGGGAGGUCAAUUUCACUACCUGUUUAAAGAAAAGACAAUUUUAAUAAGUUUUUAUGUUUUAUCUGAUUAUUUUCACGUUCAAGAAAAAAAGGGUGACUUUGCAGUUAAACCAUCAGGCAUCCUGACUGCAAAGGUAAAAGUAACCAUGGCUAUGUAUAAUAACAGCUGAGUGCUUCAUGAUCUGGGCUUCAUGUUCUAGUAGAUAGGUAGGUACACUGAAGAAAAUUCAGACAAAGUCUACCUUGUGUGGCUAUGAAGCAUCAGCAACAUGACAAUAUCACGCAAACUUCUGAAAGAGGGAACAAAGACCCUCGCCAAAUGGUUACGCUCAAUUUUUUGUUAUAUAUGCUUUUAAUUUCAACAGCUAAAUGACAUAUUGGCUCACAGCUGCUUCAUUUAAAGUUUCAUUGAUCUUACUCUGUUGGGAGCUCAUAAUGAAUACCAGAUCCCAUAU
Long non-coding RNA from Columba livia (rock pigeon), 5759 nucleotides. RefSeq lists it as uncharacterized. The record is from RefSeq and is a predicted model, not a curated record. The transcript has 3 exons. NCBI's taxonomy places the organism in Eukaryota, Metazoa, Chordata, Aves, Columbiformes, Columbidae.